AUUGAACGCUGGCGGCAGGCCUAACACAUGCAAGUCGAACGGUAACAGGAAGCAGCUUGCUGCUUUGCUGACGAGUGGCGGACGGGUGAGUAAUGUCUGGGAAACUGCCUGAUGGAGGGGGAUAACUACUGGAAACGGUAGCUAAUACCGCAUAACGUCGCAAGCCCAAGGAGGGGGACUUUCGGGCCUCUUGCCUUCGACUUGGCCCAGAUGGGAUUAGCUAGUAGGUGGGGUAACGGCUCACCUAGGCGACGAUCCCUAGCUGGUCUGAGAGGAUGACCAGCCACACUGGAACUGAGACACGGUCCAGACUCCUACGGGAGGCAGCAGUGGGGAAUAUUGCACAAUGGGCGCAAGCCUGAUGCAGCCAUGCCGCGUGUAUGAAGAAGGCCUUCGGAUUGUAAAGUACUUUCAGCGGGGAGGAAGGGAGUAAAGUUAAUACCUUUGCUCAUUGACGUUACCCGCAGAAGAAGCACCGGCUAACUCCGUG
Molecule: ribosomal RNA, 490 nt
Filed under: uncultured bacterium
Lineage: Bacteria
Description: partial 16S ribosomal RNA
Rfam family: Bacterial small subunit ribosomal RNA
Source: RNAcentral